AUUGAACGCUGGCGGCAUGCCUAACACAUGCAAGUCGAACGGUAACGACGGGAGCUUGCUCCCGGGCGACGAGUGGCGGACGGGUGAGUAAUACUUAGGAAUCUGCCCAGUAGUGGGGGACAACUCGAGGAAACUCGAGCUAAUACCGCAUACGCCUACGGGGGAAAGUGGAGGAUCUUCGGACUUCACGCUAUUGGAUGAGCCUAAGUCGGAUUAGCUUGUAGGUAGGGUAACGGCCUACCUAGGCAACGAUCCGUAGCUGGUCUGAGAGGACGAUCAGCCACACUGGAACUGAGACACGGUCCAGACUCCUACGGGAGGCAGCAGUGGGGAAUAUUGGACAAUGGGCGCAAGCCUGAUCCAGCAAUGCCGCGUGUGUGAAGAAGGCCUGCGGGUUGUAAAGCACUUUCAGUAGAGAAGAAAAGCUUACGGUUAAUACCUGUGAGUCUUGACGUAACCUACAGAAGAAGCACCGGCUAACUCCGUG
Molecule: ribosomal RNA, 487 nt
Filed under: uncultured bacterium
Lineage: Bacteria
Description: bacterial SSU rRNA
Rfam family: Bacterial small subunit ribosomal RNA
Source: RNAcentral